This 498-nucleotide ribosomal RNA is filed under the name uncultured bacterium. Its description in RNAcentral is "partial 16S ribosomal RNA". It matches the Rfam family "Bacterial small subunit ribosomal RNA", at positions 899 to 1397 of the family's 1533-position model. The record is from RNAcentral.
ACUCAAAUGAAUUGACGGGGGCCCGCACAAGCGGCGGAGCAUGUGGAUUAAUUCGAUGCAACGCGAAGAACCUUACCUGGGUUUGACAUAUACCGGACGACUGCAGAGAUGUGGUUUCCCUUGUGGUCGGUAUACAGGUGGUGCAUGGCUGUCGUCAGCUCGUGUCGUGAGAUGUUGGGUUAAGUCCCGCAACGAGCGCAACCCUUGUCUUAUGUUGCCAGCACGUAAUGGUGGGGACUCGUAAGAGACUGCCGGGGUCAACUCGGAGGAAGGUGGGGACGACGUCAAGUCAUCAUGCCCCUUAUGUCCAGGGCUUCACACAUGCUACAAUGGUCGGUACAGAGGGCUGCGAUACCGUGAGGUGGAGCGAAUCCCUUAAAGCCGGUCUCAGUUCGGAUCGGGGUCUGCAACUCGACCCCGUGAAGUCGGAGUCGCUAGUAAUCGCAGAUCAGCAACGCUGCGGUGAAUACGUUCCCGGGCCUUGUACACACCGCCCGU